Eumeta japonica is the source of this 1518-nucleotide non-coding RNA. Lineage: Eukaryota; Metazoa; Arthropoda; Insecta; Lepidoptera; Psychidae. The record is from the annotation of a GenBank genome assembly.
AUAACUACCCUGGACGGUGGAUCACUUGGCUCGCGGGUCGAUGAAGAACGCAGUUAACUGCGCGUCAUAGUGUGAACUGCAGGACACAUUUGAACAUCGACAUUUCGAACGCACAUUGCGGUCCGUGGAGACACAUCCAGGACCACUCCUGUCUGAGGGCCGGCCGUAUAUAACAAAAGGCCACAUUGCGAACGCGCUCGCGCUCUCCCGUGCGCGUGUGCCGUUCGACAAUUGACGGCGUCGACGCGUUUCUCUCGGCCUUCUCGUCUCCUCCAAGCGAAGAGAUGUAUUAGGUAGAGAUUGUUUUACGUGUCGUCCGUUUAAAUAUAUUAUUCGUACGAAUCUCGAUUACGCCGCGCGCACACAAACGUCGCGCGCGUCGUCUUCGUAUUCGCGUCUCGGCAGAGAUCCGACUCCACGUAAGGGAGUUCGGUGUCGUAGUCGAAACGACGGAUCGAUGAUACGACGGGUGCGAUGUGCGCGGCGCGAUCUUGAAAUUUUCGUAACGAUAUAUCCGCCGUAGGCGGACUCGACGUCGAAGCGCGCGCGUCGUCGCGCGGACGGAUAUCGAGUCUGCCUCGCACCAUAUCGUCGGCCUCAGAUCAGGAGGAUCACCCGCCGAAUUUAAGCAUAUUAGUAAGCGGAGGAAAAACUAACCAGGAUUUCCUUAGUAGCGGCGAGCGAACAGGAAAGAGCCCAGCGCCGAAUCGCGCGAUCGUAACGGUCGCGCGACAUGUGGUGUUCGGGAGGUUCCGCUUUCUCGUCGUCGGGUCUCCUGUCCAAGUUCGUCUUGAACGGGGCCGCUUUCCCGUAGAGGGUGCCAGGCCCGUAGAGACGGAGCGCGGCGGCGAGGGACUCUCCUCAGAGUCGGGUUGCUUGAGUGCAGCCCUAAGCGGGUGGUAAACUCCAUCUAAGGCUAAAUAUCACCGCGAGACCGAUAGCGAACAAGUACCGUGAGGAAAGUUGAAAAGAACUUUGAAGAGAGAGUUCAAGAGUACGUGAAACCGUUCAGGGUAAACCUGCGAAACUCGAAUGAACGAACGGAGAGAUUCAACGUUCGUUUCCGUGCUGCGUGCGUACGGUCGUCCCGGACGUCCGUCGAUCUCGGUCUUUCGGGGCCGUGUCGGCGGGCGCGGAUCGUGCGUAUCGUCGCCGGGGACGUGCACUCUCUCUCAGUAAGGCAUCGCGACCCGUUCGAGGUCGGUCUGAGCGCCGUUCGGGAGCCCGGCGACCUUAACUCGGUCGUCGGACCGCGACGGUGGCCGACCGGCCUUCCAAUCGGACGGUAUGAAUACGAAACGCGCACGCGCUUAGGCGCGUCAGGCCCGACGCGAGGCGUCGUCGCGUUCGAGGUUCCGCCCGAGUGCGGACCUCGACGCUGCGCGCCUGCAUCGAUACGGCCGCCGUGUAGUCUCUGACCGUGCGCGUAUCCGUCUGCGAUGAUUCGGUUUCGGGCACUCGCAGGACCCGUCUUGAAACACGGACCAAGGAGUCUAGCAUGUGUGCGAGUCGUUGAGA